UCUCUCUCUCUCUCUCUCUCUCUCUCUUUUAAAGAGAGAGGGGGGGAGGAGAGAGAGAGA
RNAcentral lists this microRNA precursor (60 nucleotides) under Marmota monax (woodchuck). The record is from RNAcentral. Lineage: Eukaryota; Metazoa; Chordata; Mammalia; Rodentia; Sciuridae.